Non-coding RNA from Caenorhabditis elegans, 150 nucleotides. The record is from Ensembl. Lineage: Eukaryota; Metazoa; Nematoda; Chromadorea; Rhabditida; Rhabditidae.
AUUGCGAAUUUUUGUUGAAAGAUUUGAUUUUUUAGAGAUAAAUUUGCAUUUAAAAACUAAAAAUUUCUGAAAAUGAAGAAACUAGAUAAAAUGAAUAAUUUUGAAGAAUGUUUUUAUUUUCUAUUUUCCCGCUUUAAUACUGCAAAUUUU